AUCCCAUGGUGCGGGCACUUCCUUAUCAGGUCUUUAAAUCUCUCCCAUGCCUCAUAUAAAGAUUCAUUAUCUAGCUGGUAGAAAUUUUUAUCUCCCCCCUCAGCUU
Small nucleolar RNA from Humulus lupulus (European hop), 106 nucleotides. NCBI's taxonomy places the organism in Eukaryota, Viridiplantae, Streptophyta, Magnoliopsida, Rosales, Cannabaceae. The record is from RefSeq and is a predicted model, not a curated record.